CCCUUAGAUGUUCUGGGCUGCACGCGCGCUACACUGAUGCGCUCAACGAGUUUUAACCUUGCCUGGAAAGGUUGGGUAAUCUUUUUAAAACGCAUCGUGAUGGGGAUAGAUUAUUGCAAUUAUUAAUUUUCAACGAGGAACUCCUAGUAAGUGCAAGUCAUCAGCUUGCGCUGAUUACGUCCCUGCCUAUUGUACACACCGCCCGUCGCUCCUACCGAUUGGGUGAUCCGGUGAAUAUUUCGGACUGCAUCUUCCUUCGGGUUGCUGCGGGAAGUUUUGUAAACCUUAUCACUUAGAGGAAGGAGAAGUCGUAACA
This 316-nucleotide ribosomal RNA is filed under the name uncultured eukaryote. RNAcentral describes it as "partial 18S ribosomal RNA". It matches the Rfam family "Eukaryotic small subunit ribosomal RNA", at positions 1470 to 1796 of the family's 1831-position model. The record is from RNAcentral.